Molecule: non-coding RNA, 244 nt
Organism: Danio rerio (zebrafish)
Lineage: Eukaryota; Metazoa; Chordata; Actinopteri; Cypriniformes; Danionidae
Source: RefSeq, a predicted model, not a curated record
CUGUUUACACAGAACUUCGCACGCUUUUCAAAGAAAAGUCUAUUUUGGAGUCCACACUUUUCAGUGCUCCGGACUGCCUGGUGUAUGUUGGCCUGUAGGAUGGAGUUUGCUAAGAUUUCUGCAGCUUAUUAAAGAAGUUACUACAAUGUGAUAUCGAAGUCACCGAGGGAUAUAACGUUAUAGACGGACAAGAUUGAACAACAUAAUGCAGGCUAACAGCAUCAGAGCAAUGAAGGCAUGUCAU